RNAcentral lists this ribosomal RNA (253 nucleotides) under uncultured bacterium. RNAcentral's name for it is "partial 16S ribosomal RNA". It matches the Rfam family "Bacterial small subunit ribosomal RNA", at positions 524 to 776 of the family's 1533-position model. The record is from RNAcentral.
UACGGAGGGUGCAAACGUUGUUCGGAAUUAUUGGGCGUAAAGGGUGCGUAGGCGGUUUGGUAAGUCUUGUGUGAAAUCUACAGGCUCAACUUGUAGUCUGCACGAGAAACUGCCGGGCUUGAGUAUGGGAGAGGUGAGUGGAAUUCCUGGUGUAGCGGUGAAAUGCGUAGAUAUCAGGAGGAACACCUGUGGCGAAAGCGGCUCACUGGACCAUAACUGACGCUGAUGCACGAAAGCUAGGGGAGCAAACAGG